Molecule: small nucleolar RNA, 77 nt
Organism: Lathyrus oleraceus (garden pea)
Lineage: Eukaryota; Viridiplantae; Streptophyta; Magnoliopsida; Fabales; Fabaceae
Product: small nucleolar RNA Z102/R77
Exons: 1
Source: RefSeq, a predicted model, not a curated record
GGAUGGAGUGAUGAAUAUUUGUUUCCCUAUUGGUUUGAUAAUCUAAAUGAUGCAAUUGGUAUCAUGUCUGACCAUUC